CAGUCGCCGCGGGAAUACGAAGGGUGCAAGCGUUAAUCGGAAUUACUGGGCGUAAAGCGCGCGUAGGUGGUCGGGUAAGUCGGAUGUGAAAUCCUGGGGCUCAACCUCAGAACUGCAUUCGAUACUGCUCGGCUAGAGGACUGGAGAGGAGAGUGGAAUUCACGGUGUAGCAGUGAAAUGCGUAGAUAUCGUGAGGAAGACCAGCGGCGAAGGCGGCUCUCUGGACAGUUCCUGACGCUGAUGCACGAAGGCCAGGGGAGCAAACGGGAUUAGAUACCCCUGUAGUCCCUGUCUCUUAUAC
This 301-nucleotide ribosomal RNA is filed under the name uncultured bacterium. RNAcentral's name for it is "partial 16S ribosomal RNA". It matches the Rfam family "Bacterial small subunit ribosomal RNA", at positions 509 to 807 of the family's 1533-position model. The record is from RNAcentral.